UUUACUCAAUAAUUGUUUUCAUCUCUCUAAAAAAUGAAAACCACAUCGACCAAUUCCAGUGGCCAAUUAAAUUAAAUUGGAAAGUUAUCGGCGAAGGUUUGGCUGGAAUCUCCUCAACUUCAAUGGCGGCGGCGCUGUUUCUCCUCUUACUGAGUUUGGGGAUACCGAGUUCACUUGCUUAUCGACCCGGGGAUAUAGUUCCUAUGAGUCGAAUGGGCCAAUAUCACGCUUCCAGAACAGUUUGGCACGACAUGAUCGGUAGACAUUGCCCGAUUUUCGCGGUUAAUCGCGAGGCGCUGAUUCCUAUACCUAAGCCCACUGGAUAUACUGGUGCUGAUCCGUACAAAAUAUCAUUUCAAGUUGGUCAAGAGAAAUUUUAUGUUCCUUGGCUUUUUGUUAUCAACCGAAAGAGUUCUGAAGUCCCAAUGAUUGAGAUGCAUCUGAGGUACUCAGGAGCUGAUUUACUUGGUGUCUCGUCAAAAGUUGUAGAUAUGCCAAACAAAUAUGUAGAACUUCAUCCCGACAUCCGUAAACAAUUUUGGGAUCAGCAAGUAUGGCCAAAACAUAUUCUUGUCAGAUACACCUGGGAGGAGCAGUCCGAGAUGGAUGUGGCUUCUGGAUUUUAUGUUCUCUUUGGAUCCGGCCCAAUCAGCCCACCCCAAUAAUUCUAACCCCAAUAAUUCCACAACCCCAAUCUGUCGCUUUUCAUCUCUACUCCUUCAGUCCUUCCACAAUCUGCCACCCACCGUCGCGCCGCCCCCGCCGCCUGUUGCAGCCUAGCCAGCACCCUCCAGCCCCACUCAGUGACUCAGCCACCGUCCAGCCAUACAGCCCCUCCUAUUCACAAUCUGCACCCUACAGCCCCUCCUAUUCACAAUCAUCCCCACUCAGUGACUCAGCCACUGCCCAGCCACUUGACGCCGCCACCCCUGCGCCGCCGCCGCCACCUACAGCAGCCGAGCACCUUCCAGCAACAGUCCAGCGACCAGCAGUCAGCUUUCCGACAAGAAUGUCUCAUGGAGAAGCUUCAACAGCUGCCACUAGUGGAAAAUGUUCGAAUAGAACUGAUCUAGGCUGGAAGUAUUGUUCUCCCAUUGAUGAAAAGUUGACUAGUAAAGUCAAAUGCAACUUUUGCAACAAAGAGAUGAACGGGGGCAUCACAAGAGCAAAAGAGCAUCUGAUGGGCAAGAAAGGAAAGGUUGCCCAUCAGAUGUGAUUAAUUAUAUUUAUUUUGUAAAUUCAUACAAGAAAGAGAAAUAGGCUCGAGCAUAAGAGGAUGCAAGAUUUGGUUUAUGUGAAAUAUAACCAAAAAUUGCAUGAUAGGAACAAGCUUAGUGCAACCGAUGAAUUUGAUCCUAUUAUUCUCGAUGAUAUUGAUGAGUGCAAUGAGUGGCUAGUUGGGGAGUUGGAUGAUGAUGAUGAUUAUAUUGAUGGUGGUAAUCAUUUGGUUCAUGAUGACGAUAAUACACUUGAUUGGAACAUGGUGUAUAAGGCUUCGGGUGUUGGAGAGCCUAGGACAUAUACUAGAUCAAAGAAGAGGAAAGAAUCUUCUACAUCUAGUUCAAGUUGUCUUAGAGUUUCUAAGAAAAAAGAACCUAUCAUACCUAGAAAAGGGAAAGGGAAAAGGAAAAGGCUUGCGCUUGUAGAUGAAGAAUCGGAAGAGGAAUAAUUUGAGGAUAGUGUAAGUGGAGAUCAAGAGGAUGAAGCAAUGGAGGAUGAAGAUGAAAUGGAUGCCGAUGAUAGUGAUGAUGAUGAGCUAGAAGACUAUGUUGAGCUUGAUGAUUGAUGUCUAUUGAGCUUAUCAUGGUUUUAUGUUUUGUUGAACACUUGAACUAAAGACUUUAAUUGCUAGACUUUUAUAUAAUUGUUUUCUAUUUUAUGCUUUA
RNA transcript from Salvia splendens (bonfire salvia), 1886 nucleotides. RefSeq lists it as uncharacterized. The transcript has 9 exons. The record is from RefSeq and is a predicted model, not a curated record. NCBI's taxonomy places the organism in Eukaryota, Viridiplantae, Streptophyta, Magnoliopsida, Lamiales, Lamiaceae.